AACCGUCCAGUGGCCUAGUGAUUAAAGUGUAUGCCUCAGAUGUGGGAGGUCACGGGUUCGAACCCCGGCUGAGUCA
Molecule: non-coding RNA, 76 nt
Organism: Potamilus streckersoni
Lineage: Eukaryota; Metazoa; Mollusca; Bivalvia; Unionida; Unionidae
Source: the annotation of a GenBank genome assembly